GUUUAAGGUCCCUGCCAACCCCAAGCUCAACGCACAGACCGCGGGGCCGAGCGGUUAUUUCACUUGCCGCCACAGGGUGGCGCUGUGCCACCAACGUCCUUUCGUCUCCAACAGGCUUCCUGCCGGCGCCGCUGCAAGAAGCCGAACAGGGCCCUGAGACAUCCAGGUCUCUGUUUCGGAUUACCAGGCACGCUCGGGCCGCCGGACACCGAUCCAAGCAUUCAUCUGAAAGAUAAUGGGAAAACAGGCCUCAGCUUUGUGCAAAGUUGGAAUGCAAAAGCAAGGCUUUGCUUGUUGCAAACCACUCUGGGUCCUUUCUCUUUCAAGAGCCAGACCACUUUGGAAGCCUGUUUGUCCGUAAUAACUAAGUAAGAGUGACCAGAGCAAAACGGUAAGAUUGCUAUGUCCAUGUAGAUACAUGAGCAUGUGUGCAUGCUUAGUUGCUUGUCGUGUCUGACUCUUUGGAACUCUGUGGACUCUAGCCCGCCAGGCUCCUCUUCCAUGAGAUUCUCCAGGCAAGAAUACUAGAGUGAGUUGCCACAGCCUCCUCCAGGGGAUCUUCCUGACCCAGGAACUGAACCUGCGUCUCCUGUAUCUCCUGCAUUGCAGGUAUAUUCUUUACCACUGUAGCCCCAAAGAUGUAUGUAUGUACCUUAUAAAUAUGAGAUGUCUCUGCCUUCUAAUGGCAUUGUCAAAACUGGUUUGUGGAUGAGCUCUGUUUAAUUGGCUUAAGAGAAAUUAAGUGCUUAUAUGAAUUCUCAGGAAUAUAAAAGAUACUGAUCAGAAUGAAUUUCAGGUUCAAGUGAUCUGGUAAAUAUUCAGUACUGAGUCGAUAUCUGGUACUGAAGCUAGCUGAAGCUUGUUGGUUUGACUAAUACUGACAUGUCUUUAGCAUCAUCAGUGUUAAGUAGUACUUCUGUUGCACCUAGGUUUGCUGAAGAUCAAAUAAGACCUUAUUAUAUUUGUUGAAACUGUCAGUGAGGAAAAUAACUUGAUAACUGGAAACUAAAUUUUUAUUAUCUGAGAUCAGACGAGAUCGGGCGCCUUCAGGCUGAUAUGGCCGGAGGCAGUAACUGAUUUUAAUUUUUUUAAAAAGGAAUGACCUGUUGAUGCAUACAUGGAUGGAUGGCAGAGCAAUUAUGCUAAGUAAAAUAAGCCAGAUUUUAAAAGUACCUACUGUAUGAUUCCAUUUAUAUAAAAUUCUGUAAAAUGCAAACUAACUCAUAGUGAGCAGAUUACUGGUUGCCUGGGGAGUGGGUGUUGGCAGGAAGAGGAAUGGAAAAAGGAUUAUUAAGUGGUGUGAGGAAACUUUUGGGGGCAAUGGAUAUGUCCAUUACCUUAAUUGUGGCAAUGGUUUCAGGGGUGUAAGCUUAUGCCAAAUUUAUCAAGCUAUCCAUUUUAAACAUGCACAAUAUAAUGUAUGUCAGUUAGGAUCAAUAAACCUCUUAAAAAUAGUAAUGCA
RNAcentral lists this long non-coding RNA (1462 nucleotides) under Bos indicus x Bos taurus (hybrid cattle). RNAcentral describes it as "lncRNA (ENSBIXG00005000293.1)". The record is from RNAcentral. Lineage: Eukaryota; Metazoa; Chordata; Mammalia; Artiodactyla; Bovidae.